This 596-nucleotide unclassified non-coding RNA is filed under the name Pleurocordyceps sinensis. RNAcentral's name for it is "Polycephalomyces sinensis sequence contains ITS1, 5.8S rRNA gene and ITS2". The stretch from base 188 to 341 matches the Rfam family "5.8S ribosomal RNA". Lineage: Eukaryota; Fungi; Ascomycota; Sordariomycetes; Hypocreales; Polycephalomycetaceae. The record is from RNAcentral.
GGUGAAUACGAGCGAGGGACACGAGGCCCACCUCCCAUCCGUGUUGAACUACACCUGUUGCUUCGGCGGGCCCGCCGUGGUUCACGCCCGGCCGCCGGGGGGCCUUGUGCUCCCGGGCCCGCGCCCGCCGAAGACCCCUCGAACGCUGCCCUGAAGGUUGCCGUCUGAGUAUAAAAUCAAUCAUUAAAACUUUCAACAACGGAUCUCUUGGUUCCGGCAUCGAUGAAGAACGCAGCGAAAUGCGAUAAGUAAUGUGAAUUGCAGAAUUCCGUGAAUCAUCGAAUCUUUGAACGCACAUUGCGCCCCCUGGCAUUCCGGGGGGCAUGCCUGUCCGAGCGUCAUUGCUAACCCUCCAGCCCGGCUGGUGUGUUGGGUCGACGUCCCCCCCGGGGGACGGGCCCGAAAGGCAGCGGCGGCGCCGCGUCCGAUCCUCGAGCGUAUGGGGCUUUGUCACGCGCUCUGGUAGGGUCGGCCGGCUGGCCAGCCAGCGACCUCACGGUCACCUAUUUUUUCUCUUAGGUUGACCUCGGAUCAGGUAGGGAUACCCGCUGAACUUAAGCAUACAUAAACCGGGAAAGAAAAAAAAUAUAAUGCCG